RNAcentral lists this unclassified non-coding RNA (623 nucleotides) under Hevea brasiliensis (rubber tree). The record is from RNAcentral. Lineage: Eukaryota; Viridiplantae; Streptophyta; Magnoliopsida; Malpighiales; Euphorbiaceae.
UUCAAAUGAAAUCUUACAAGUGUUUCUAGGCAUACAAUAUCCAUAAGACAUACUACAUAUAUAAGUGACACUAUUACAUGGGGGGGACUUUGGUGCUCCUCCCUUCAUAUAGCAUAUGGGGCUUGCAUAAUCUGACAAUUCAUAAGAUCAACAAUGUACCAAUUAGAAGAUGAAAAGAGCAGCGACAAUAGAACAUUCACAUUAAACUAACCAACUCUUCCAUCUCCUGGUUGAGUCCGAGACUCCAAGAAGAGCCUUAUGGUUGAGUAGAUUAGAGAAGGUUCAGCCAUUGCACCAUUCCCAUAAUCACCACAAGCCAGCCUUUUUGUAAUGGGUGGAAUGAGGGAAAUCCCCAGUUCAUCAAUUGACAUGAGAUGCUUCUCUGUGAAAGGAUUGCUCCACAUGAAAGUAUUCAUGGCUGGUGCAACAAAGAGGGGCUUGUUGUAAUCCCAUGCUCGUACAAUGCAGGUCAGCAGAUUGUCACACAAUCCUCCAGCAAUCUUACCAAGUGUGUUUGCUGAUAAUGGGGCUAUAACCAUGAUAUCAGCCCACCGCCGCAGCUCAAUGUGGAGAACAGUAUCUCCUAUUUUAUUCCAACUAGACCAUUCAUCCUCGUCAGUGUA